This 273-nucleotide ribosomal RNA is filed under the name uncultured bacterium. RNAcentral's name for it is "partial 16S ribosomal RNA". It matches the Rfam family "Bacterial small subunit ribosomal RNA", at positions 523 to 796 of the family's 1533-position model. The record is from RNAcentral.
AUACGGAGGGUGCGAGCGUUAAUCGGAAUUACUGGGCGUAAAGCGUGCGUAGGCGGUUUGCUAAGUCAGAUGUGAAAGCCCCGGGCUUAACCUGGGAACUGCAUUUGAUACUGGCAGACUAGAGUAUGAUAGAGGGGGGUAGAAUUCCUGGUGUAGCGGUGAAAUGCGUAGAUAUCAGGAGGAAUACCAGUGGCGAAGGCGGCCCCCUGGAUCAAUACUGACGCUGAGGUACGAAAGCGUGGGAGCGAACAGGAUUAGAAACCCUAGUAGUCC